AUGAAAAUAUUCACAGAUUGGUCCUUCUACUUCAACCCCUCACAACUUUUCAACCGUAGAUCCGAUGGAGCCCCUUCGAGAAAGAACCGUCCGGGGUUUCGUUUUCACGGCUUCACCGCACUUUUUCCCGGAGUCUCCGUCACCCCCAGUUUGCAGGUCAUGCCUGGAUUGCUUGCUUGUUUGGUGUGGUUCCUGUGUUCACAAGCUAGGAUAAACGUUCCGUCCAUAGUCCCUGCGGAUUGGAGUCCAUCAUUGUCGUUCGUUGUUUUGUUUCCAAUAGUUGUUCCGCUGCCAGUUGAGGUUCCGCUGCCUCGAGUUGUUAUGCUGCUUGCAUAG
RNAcentral lists this ribosomal RNA (336 nucleotides) under Triticum aestivum (bread wheat). RNAcentral describes it as "partial small subunit ribosomal RNA". Lineage: Eukaryota; Viridiplantae; Streptophyta; Magnoliopsida; Poales; Poaceae. The record is from RNAcentral.